AAGUGGAGAAAAAAUAUCCAAUGUAACAUUAGAAAAUAAUUUGAGGAUGCACCAGAGUAUGUUUUUUUUUUUUUGCUAUUAACAAUUGAGCUCCAUACACACUACUAUGGGCAUAUCAAAAAAUCGCAUAGGCAACAAAAUACACAGGAGCAUCAUCAUCGGGCACUUUUUUAUAUUUCGCAGAUAUAUAACAUUAUAAAGAUAUGAAGACCAAAUCCGGUUUCUUUUUCCUUUUUUUCGUUCAUUUCAUAAAAAUCCAAAUCACUUUUACCAUGCUGCAGCAUUCUGACACCUAAGUUAUGAUAUCUCCAAACUAAUGUUAUAAAAAAUGCAGUGCAGAGCUGCAAGAAAUGCCAAAGCAUUAUUAACUUACACUGGCAUUAUUGAAGAUUAGAUAGGAUACUCCCACUGAUCCACAUUUCAGUCCAGCCACACUACCUG
RNAcentral lists this long non-coding RNA (441 nucleotides) under Sorghum bicolor (sorghum). RNAcentral's name for it is "long non-coding RNA (SBIC_LNC008130)". The record is from RNAcentral. Lineage: Eukaryota; Viridiplantae; Streptophyta; Magnoliopsida; Poales; Poaceae.